GAUGAAGAACGCAGCGAAAUGCGAUACUUGGUGUGAAUUGCAGAAUCCCGUGAACCAUCGAGCCUUUGAACGCAAGUUGCGCCCGAAGCCAUCAGGUUGAGGGCACGUCUGCCUGGGCGUCACAUAUCGUUGCCCAAUGCCUAUUGCAGUGCAAUAGGAAUUUCUAGGGCGAAUGAUGGCUUCCCGUGAGCGUUGUUGCCUCGCGGUUGGUUGAAAAUCGAGUCCUUGGUAGGGUGUGCCAUGGUAGAUGGUGGUCGAGUUAGAACGAUACCGAUCAUGUGCAUGCUCCCCAAAAUAUGGCCUCUAUGACCCACACGCGUCUUUUGACGCUCAUGACGAGACCUCAGGUCAGGCGGGGCUACCCGCUGAAUUUAAGCAUAUCAUAAGCGGAGGA
RNAcentral lists this unclassified non-coding RNA (394 nucleotides) under soil metagenome. RNAcentral describes it as "partial contains 5.8S ribosomal RNA, internal transcribed spacer 2, and large subunit ribosomal RNA". The stretch from base 1 to 122 matches the Rfam family "5.8S ribosomal RNA", at positions 35 to 154 of the family's 154-position model. The record is from RNAcentral.